AAAGGAAAGAAGAGAGGAAGAUUCAGCGCUCUCUGUGGACUCAACCCAAAGUGUACAAAGAAGGUCAACAAGAAGAACCACUGCACUCCAACACCUUCCCAGAACCAGACCCCUGCCGUCAGUGAAACAGCAAUUGUCAAUGAUCAAGAAACCUGCCGAACAGAGAGUGUAUGCUCCACCAAGAAGAAACCAAGGAAGCGUUCGCUCAUUUCCAGGAUGUUUUCAGCUAUAGGCAAAGCCUUGUCCAGU
Molecule: long non-coding RNA, 249 nt
Organism: Oncorhynchus kisutch (coho salmon)
Lineage: Eukaryota; Metazoa; Chordata; Actinopteri; Salmoniformes; Salmonidae
Exons: 3
Source: RefSeq, a predicted model, not a curated record